CCAAGAGUGUAUUCAGAAUUCGACGAGGGAAAUGUAAACUUGGCGCAAACAGAGGAAAGUGCAUGACGUAUUAGGUAGUCUCACUUGAAAUUAGUUUAUAUUAAAAAUAUACUUUCAAUUUCUAUUCUUAUUCCUAACUUUCCUGCAUGACAAAUCUGGAGAAAAAGCAUUUUUUGUUUAUAUCGAACCCCCGUCUUAAAGUUCUAUGUGACUUGCUGCAGUGCAACAACGAAUUUCGACUUUUUAUUUAUUUUAUUUUAUUAUAUAAUUUAUAGUCUUGGAAUGAUGGCUAUUAAUCAUGGCUAUGUGCUAGAUAUUCCAGUUAACAUUAGACACAGCUACUAAACUAAAGCACCAAAGCUAGCUAGCUACCUAGCUAUAUAUAUAUUAGCCGAAGUAGUGGACCAGAAGAUGAUGUGUGUGAUGUUGUGUUUAAUUAUUCCAUACCACGGUGUGGUUAAUAGAUAAAGGUGCUAAAAGGUGCAGUUGUUCCAUUUUCAUCUGGUCUGCAUAUUUAUACUCUGUCAAAUAUUUUGCAAGCUUUAAAAGUGUUUGUCAAAGUUUUAUAGUUACCAACUUAGUGUUUUACAGUGGUUCCUGUGGACUUUCUUUUUACAUUUCCUUAAAUUUGAAAUAUCUUUUCAGCUAUUACGUUAUUUUCUCUGGCUGGUCUGCAAAUAUAAAUUUCGUACAUUUCUAUGAAGUCUCUCAAUGUUAAGAUUACAGUUUAUAAACAUUUUUACCGGUUAUUGUAUAAUUGUUUUGCUUUUAUACAUUGAUUUUAUGUUAUUUUUGAGCUACAGCAUCAUUUUUACUAUCUGGUCUGCAAAUUACACUCUUGUCAAAUAUUUUGUACUCUUCAAGAGUGUUUGUAAAAUUUUUGAAUAGUUACUAAUUUGUGGUGUUUUAUUAUGUUCCUGUGAAUUUUUUUCGCAUUUUCAUCAAUUUGGAAAGAUUUUUUCAACUAUGA
Hydractinia symbiolongicarpus is the source of this 970-nucleotide long non-coding RNA. RefSeq lists it as uncharacterized. The record is from RefSeq and is a predicted model, not a curated record. The transcript is spliced from 2 exons. Lineage: Eukaryota; Metazoa; Cnidaria; Hydrozoa; Anthoathecata; Hydractiniidae.